Mycena metata is the source of this 97-nucleotide non-coding RNA. The record is from the annotation of a GenBank genome assembly. NCBI's taxonomy places the organism in Eukaryota, Fungi, Basidiomycota, Agaricomycetes, Agaricales, Mycenaceae.
CACUCGGUAGCACAUGGUGUGCACUUGCUUGGCCUUGGGGUUCCAAGUUUAAGCCAUGUUUGUGCAGGAGGUCCUGGUUCGAUUCCGGGUCGGGUGG